Molecule: ribosomal RNA, 468 nt
Filed under: uncultured bacterium
Lineage: Bacteria
Description: partial 16S ribosomal RNA
Rfam family: Bacterial small subunit ribosomal RNA
Source: RNAcentral
GACGAACGCUGGCGGCGUGCUUAACACAUGCAAGUCGAACGGAAAGGCCCUGCUUUUGUGGGGUGCUCGAGUGGCGAACGGGUGAGUAACACGUGAGUAACCUGCCCUUGACUUUGGGAUAACUUCAGGAAACUGGGGCUAAUACCGGAUAGGAGCUCCUGCUGCAUGGUGGGGGUUGGAAAGUUUCGGCGGUUGGGGAUGGACUCGCGGCUUAUCAGCUUGUUGGUGGGGUAGUGGCUUACCAAGGCUUUGACGGGUAGCCGGCCUGAGAGGGUGACCGGCCACAUUGGGACUGAGAUACGGCCCAGACUCCUACGGGAGGCAGCAGUGGGGAAUAUUGCACAAUGGGCGGAAGCCUGAUGCAGCAACGCCGCGUGCGGGAUGACGGCCUUCGGGUUGUAGUCCGCUUUCGCCUGUGACGAAGCGUGAGUGACGGUAAUGGGUAAAGAAGCACCGGCUAACUACGUG